This 273-nucleotide ribosomal RNA is filed under the name Chloroflexota bacterium. Its description in RNAcentral is "Chloroflexi bacterium (rhizosphere metagenome) partial 23S ribosomal RNA". It matches the Rfam family "Bacterial large subunit ribosomal RNA", at positions 2654 to 2925 of the family's 2925-position model. Lineage: Bacteria; Bacillati; Chloroflexota. The record is from RNAcentral.
UAGGGAGUUUGACAGGAGCCGUCCCUAGUACGAGAGGACCGGGAUGGACGGACCUCCGGUGUAGCGGUUGUGCCGCCAGGCGCAGCGCCGCGUAGCCGACGUCCGGCAGGGAUAAGCGCUGAAAGCAUCUAAGUGCGAAGCUCGCCUGAAGAUGAGACUCCCCACCGGGUUAACCGGGUAAGGCCCCUGGUAGAUCACCAGGUUGAUAGGACGCACGUGGAAGCACAGCAAUGUGUGGAGCUGAGCGUUACUAAUGGCCGAGGGCUCGCGCCU